AAAUGCCUGAGAUAUACGUCAAUUUGAAUAUGUCCAACCUACAUGAUAAAUUCGGGAAUCCGAUGGUAAUGUAGCUGUCGAGCCGUCUUUAGAACGGAAGGCAAAAGCAUAUCUAGGGUGCCCACCUGCGAGAAGCAGGUCUGGACAUUUCAAAAGACGAUAUUUUGGGCGUUCC
RNAcentral lists this non-coding RNA (175 nucleotides) under Clostridia bacterium. RNAcentral's name for it is "6S RNA". It matches the Rfam family "6S / SsrS RNA". From Rfam's summary of the family: E. coli 6S RNA was the first non coding RNA to be sequenced, but its function was unknown until recently. It consists of 184 nucleotides that fold into an extended hairpin structure with a large single-stranded internal bulge. The record is from RNAcentral. Lineage: Bacteria; Bacillati; Bacillota; Clostridia.